Long non-coding RNA from Apis dorsata (giant honeybee), 254 nucleotides. RefSeq lists it as uncharacterized. NCBI's taxonomy places the organism in Eukaryota, Metazoa, Arthropoda, Insecta, Hymenoptera, Apidae. The record is from RefSeq and is a predicted model, not a curated record. The transcript has 2 exons.
UGAUUUCAUGGCUUAUCUAGUAUCAGCAACACCCGCUUUGAUAAACCGAGUUAUGAAGCCGCCCACAUUUCGAAUCGUUUUUCUGUUCUUCACUUUUCAUUAUUCGUCUAUAAAUUAGUGUUUGCUUGCUUUACUGAAUAUUUUUUCUACUUAAAUAUUAGAAUUACCAACGAAAAUCAUUACUGAGAGAUCUUCAAUAUCAGUAGUUUUGAAAUGAAAAUUUUCGAUAAAUUAUUUCAUCAUGAAAAGAAGAA